This 1402-nucleotide ribosomal RNA is filed under the name Ischnocnema venancioi. Its description in RNAcentral is "partial 16S ribosomal RNA". It matches the Rfam family "Bacterial large subunit ribosomal RNA", at positions 133 to 2610 of the family's 2925-position model. Lineage: Eukaryota; Metazoa; Chordata; Amphibia; Anura; Brachycephalidae. The record is from RNAcentral.
GCUAAAAAUUUAGCCCUCUCUAAACACCCAUAUAUAACAAUAAACUAAAAUAUUUUACCAUUUAAGUAAAGAUGAAUAAAAAAUUAACAAGAGCUAUACUAAAGUACCGCAAGGGAACAAUGAAAUAAAAUGAAACAUAAUAAAGCACAAAAAAGUAAAGAUUACAACUUGUACCUUUUGCAUCAUGGUUUAACUAGUACUCCCAAGCAAAAAGACUUUUAGUUUGAUUCCCCGAAACUGAGUGAGCUACUUCAGGGCAGCCUACUGAGCAAACCCAUCCCUGUUGCAAAAGGGUGGGAAGACCCUGUAGUAGAGGUAAAACGCCUAACGAACUCAGUGAUAGCUGGUUACUCAAGAAAAGAAUCUUAGUCCAACCUAAAGCUACUAUUACACUUUCAAGAAGUAUUACUUUAGAGCAAUUCAAAUAGGGAACAGCUUAUUUGACACAGGACACAACCUCCCAAAACGGCUAAUUUAUGCUACUAUUAAACUAAGUGGGCCUAAAAGCAGCCAUCUUUAAAGAGCGUCAAAGCCUGAUUUUAAUCGCAUUUAAUUCUACAACCAACAUAGAACCCUUCACUAAUAUUGAGUAAUUCUAUAACUUUUAUAGAAAAUUUUAUGUUAAAACUAGUAAUAAGAAGACCCUUCUCUUUUAAUGUGAGCAUAAAUCAAACCGGAUAAUCCGCUGAUAAUUAUACAACAUAACAGAAACCACACCCACGAAAACCCUGUUUUUUUUACUGUUAAACUAACACAAGAACAUUUCAAGAAAGAUUGAAAGAAAAAGAAGGAACUCGGCAAAUAUAAAUUCCGCCUGUUUACCAAAAACAUCGCCUCUUGAGCAAAUAUAAGAGGUCUUGCCUGCCCAGUGACUCCAGUUCAACGGCCGCGGUACCCUAACCGUGCAAAGGUAGCGUAAUCACUUGUUUUUUAAAUAAAGACUAGUAUGAAAGGCACCACGAGAAUUUAACUGUCUCCUUUUUCUAAUCUGUGAAACUAAUCUCCCCGUGAAAAAGCGGGAAUUUUUAUAUAAGACGAGAAGACCCUAUGGAGCUUCAGACAAAGUAAUAAGUGCCACUUUUUUAACUUCCAGAAAAUACCCGUUAAAACACUUUAUUACCUAGUCUUCGGUUGGGGCGACCAUGGAGUAAAAUCUACCCUCCACGCUGAAUAGGACCUCCUUAAGCAAAGAGCUACAACUCUAAGCAUCAAUAAAUUGACACAUUUGACCCAAUAUUUGAUCAACGAAACAAGUUACCCUAGGGAUAACAGCGCCAUCCACUUCAAGAGCCCUUAUCAACAAGUGGGUUUACGACCUCGAUGUUGGAUCAGGGUAUCCUAGUGGUGUAACCGCUACUAAAGGUUUGUUUGUUCAACAAUUAAAACCCUACGUGAUCUGAGU